GACGAACGCUGGCGGCGUGCUUAACACAUGCAAGUCGAACGGAAAGGCCCUGCUUUUGUGGGGUGCUCGAGUGGCGAACGGGUGAGUAACACGUGAGUAACCUGCCCUUGACUUUGGGAUAACUUCAGGAAACUGGGGCUAAUACCGGAUAGGAGCUCCUGCUGCAUGGUGGGGGUUGGAAAGUUUCGGCGGUUGGGGAUGGACUCGCGGCUUAUCAGCUUGUUGGUGGGGUAGUGGCUUACCAAGGCUUUGACGGGUAGCCGGCCUGAGAGGGUGACCGGCCACAUUGGGACUGAGAUACGGCCCAGACUCCUACGGGAGGCAGCAGUGGGGAAUAUUGCACAAUGGGCGGAAGCCUGAUGCAGCAACGCCGCGGGCGGGAUGACGGCCUUCGGGUUGGAAACCGCUUUCGCCUGUGACGAAGCGUGAGUGACGGUAAGGGGUAAAGAAGCACCGGCUAACUACGUGC
RNAcentral lists this ribosomal RNA (469 nucleotides) under uncultured bacterium. RNAcentral describes it as "partial 16S ribosomal RNA". It matches the Rfam family "Bacterial small subunit ribosomal RNA", at positions 28 to 508 of the family's 1533-position model. The record is from RNAcentral.